GUCAUUUCCACGACACGUCCUUCUCAACUGGUGACAACAACACAUGUAUUAGAGUCGUGAGGACUGGACAGUCUGAUCAAUCUACAGUACAGUACAUUACCGUCCUUGGUGGCUAAGGCACUACGGACUCCAUGCCAGAGCUGGGAGAUCUCCUCGUCUGUGGGAGUACGGUCCAGACAGAGGCCAUUCUCAUGGUACAGAAGUCCCCAUCUGGCAGCCUCUCCCUGGGCGUCCUGCUGGCCUGACAUGGGGGUGGCCUUGGAUGGGUUGGAAAUAAUGCUGCUAUCUGCACUAAUGACAUGUGUACGGGUCUGGGACGAAGCGAGGCUGUCCAUGGUGUUAUUAUUACACAAAGCCUCAUCUACAGGAAUCCCUGCUUUAGUAGCAGCAGAGUUAGACUGAUCCAUGUUGUAAGGAGUCUUGGUGGUGUCAUUAGAGUGAUCCAUGUCGUAAGGAGUCUUGGUGGUGUCAUUAAAGGGAUCCAUGUUGUAAGGAGUCUUGGUGGUGUCAUUAGAGUGAUCCAUGUUGUAAGGAGUCUUGGUGGUGUGAUUAGUGGGAUCCAUUUUGUAAGGAGUCUUGGUGGUGUAUUUAGUGGGAUCCAUUUUGUAAGGAGUCUUGGUGGUGUCAUUAGAGUGAUCCAUUUUGUAAGGAGUCUUGGUGGCGUGAUUAGUGGGAUCCAUUUUGUAAGGAGUCUUGGUGGUGUCAUUAGAGUGAUCCAUUUUGUAAGGAGUCUUGGUGGUGUGAUUAGUGGGAUCCAUUUUGUAAGGAGUCUUGGUGGUGUCAUUAGAGUGAUCCAUUUUGUAAGGAGUCUUGGUGGUGUGAUUAGUGGGAUCCAUUUUGUAAGGAGUCUUGGUGGUGUCAUUAGAGUGAUCCAUGUUGUAAGGAGUCUUGGUGGUGUAUGAUACUACAGCAUCCGUCUCUCUUGUGUGUGUUUUUGGUUCCAUGGUUUCAGUGCGGGGCGGGGGACGAGGCACCAUGACCUUCCUGUGGGUCACCCAGGCCACGUGGCUGCUGGCCUCCGUAGCAGAUUGGGGUCUGAUGACCGUGCCUUUUCUGGAGCGGGACGAAACAGGAUCCAUCCCUGCCCUGGCAGAUCUCACUCUCCUGGGGACUCUGGGGCACACAGUUCUCCCACUGCUCCCCCGCUGGACCUUGACCUCCCUGGCUUCCACUCUUGUCUCCCUGGCCUCCUGGCCUCUCUCCUGGAUCCCCUGGUGCCCCUGCAGCCUGCUCUCCUGGACCCUGACAUCUGCCCAGGCCUGCUUGGUAAAGUGAUAGCCGGUGGAGGCCAGAGGGGUGUUGGUGGCCACCGUCUGGCCCUGACCCUGUUGGUGGUCUGAUGAUGCUGAGUGUUUAUAUGGAGGUAGUGGAUACUCAGAAACACACUUGUUGUUUGUUAUAGGACUCCGUUCCAUCUCCUCCUCUUCCUCCAGAUUUACCUCGUCAAACCAGCGUAUCUUCUUUUUGAUCAUCUUGUCUGCAUCCUUGCCUUUCCUUCUGGUCAGUUCCACACUAUCUCUGAUGGACAUGGUGAAUUGUUUGGUGAAUAUUAAAUGCCUGGCGUUAUACAUACCAGAACAGGCGUUUCCUCCCGACACGCCAUAUUUUGAUUCUUUUUUAAGAAUUCCCUUUAUGCAUCGGACUUCAGUGCCUUUAUGAUCUGUGGCUGUGCUGACAGCAGCUACAGGUGGAGGAGAUGGAGGUGUAUCUGGGAGGUGUGUUGGUGUUAUUUCCACCUGCAGGCUCUUUAGGCCUUUAGGGAAGUCAGACCUGAUAUUACAAUGACCCAAUGUCUGACUGAGAGGGUCUGUGUUCUUAGACCUCUCGGGUUUGGGCUCAGAGUUGGACCCUGCUUUGGGCUCAGAGUUGGGCCUUGCUUUGGGCUCAGAGUUGGUCCUUGCUUUGGGCUCAGAGUUGGGCCCUGCUUUGGGCUUAGGGUUGGGCCCUGCUUUGGGCUCAGAGUUGGACCCUGCUUUGGGCUCAGAGUUGGACCCUGCUUUGGGCUCAGAGUUGGUCCUUGCUUUGGGCUCGGACCCUGCUUUGGGCUCAGAGUUGGACCCUUUGUUGAGGUUGUUCAUGGCAUCUUCUACACUGGGUUUGCUCCCGUGUGACUGGUGUUGUGUGCUUUUUGUUGGCUGAAUGUUGGCCGUGUCCUCUCGGACCCCUGAGCUACUUUUAGUGUUAUAACUGAGGAUAUGAUCAGGGUAUGAGGAGGGGGCUUCACACAGAAGGUCUUUGUGGCUGCAAGUUUUCCCAGGCAGAAGGACCUGUGUCGCCGACGGUUGUUUGGAAUACUUGUCCUCCGGGUCUCUCACCUGCUGCCUAAAUUCUAACUUUCCCUCUGGGAUCAGACAAGAGGUGAACUCUAGCAGCGUUCUGUCUGGGGUAGAAGCCUUGGAGCACACUACGACCCCCGAGACUCUGUGGUCCCCCCUCAGAUGACUUUCCCUCUCCUGAGAGUGUUGGUCACCGCUAUCUGAACGUAUUGAGGAUGUGUCUAUAAUCCCACUCAGAGUUAGCAGGCUGUGGUGACUGACACUGAGGAGUGGGGACUGGGUUAUAGUGUUACUCUGUGAUGAUGAUUGGUCUGUACAACUCUGCCACCCGGUGGCCUGAGAGAGCUGGUGCAGUCUGCUGUUACAAUCUUCGACAGACUCCUCUGUCUGCCUUGGUCUGGGUGGCUGAGGGCUAGCAUCAACUUUGCCCUGUUGGAUUAGGAGGUUACCACUUAGGACACUCUUUGUUGGUGGACAAAAGGACAAGUCAGAGGAUGGACCAUUGGGGUGUCUCUGGUGAUCUAACCAAGAGCUGUGGACUCUCUGUACUGUGUUGUUGUGGUUUAAGCCGUCCUCCAUCUCCAAGCUAUCCAGACUGGACAGGCUCUCUGACUGAGUCACAUUAUGAUG
Molecule: long non-coding RNA, 2906 nt
Organism: Oncorhynchus tshawytscha (Chinook salmon)
Lineage: Eukaryota; Metazoa; Chordata; Actinopteri; Salmoniformes; Salmonidae
Source: Ensembl